RNAcentral lists this ribosomal RNA (274 nucleotides) under uncultured bacterium. RNAcentral's name for it is "partial 16S ribosomal RNA". It matches the Rfam family "Bacterial small subunit ribosomal RNA", at positions 523 to 796 of the family's 1533-position model. The record is from RNAcentral.
AUACGGAGGGUGCAAGCGCUAAUCGGAAUUACUGGGCGUAAAGCGCGCGUAGGCGGUUUGUUAAGUCGGAUGUGAAAGCCCCGGGCUCAACCUGGGAAUUGCAUUUUGAACUGGCAAGCUAGAAUACUGUAGAGGGUGGUGGAAUUUCCAGUGUAGCGGUGAAAUGCGUAGAGAUUGGAAGGAACAUCAGUGGCGAAGGCGGCCACCUGGACAGAUCUUGACGCUGAGGAACGAAAGCGUGGGGAGCGAACAGGAUUAGAAACCCGGGUAGUCC